AUUUACUUGGUUUUGAUUAUUCUACCGAUUCUUGUGUAGAAAUUCAGUUUGUGUUGAAUAAAAUAUAGACGACAGGCAAGGGUGAUUUGUUUAGGUAGUACACAUGUUUUGAGCAUGUAAAUUUCUUUGUUUACAUACAAUUUAUCAAUUCUUGUUUUUGUUCUUUAAGGAAACAAUUAGAUUGCAACAAAAAAUAGAAUGGGUAUAUAAUAUUAACAAAUUUAACAGCAACAAGUUAUUAGCAGUACACCAGCCAAAUGUAAAUUUCUCCUUCACUUUCUUCCUAAUAAAACACUUCUGAGUUAGGUGCAUACAAGUCCUUGUCAUAUAAUAAUAAUAAAAUCUCAAUCUCAUCAGCAGAAAAGAUGACUUCACGACUUUAUUAAAUAGAUAACCACCUAGGUCUCAGAAAGAAAAUAACAACGUCUAGGUAGCUUCUGGGCAACAUGCUUCUUCUCAAUGGUGAUUGAGUUUGAUACAUUCAAACAAAUUUAACCGUAGUAGCAAUUACGGAUGAAAGUUUGAUCCACUCAGGCUAUAAAAUUUAAUAACUAAAAUUAAUGGGCCACAUAUUUGACACUACAAUACAUGUAAUUUUCCCCUUCACUUUCUUUCCCAAGAGAAGGCUUCUCAAUUCCAUGCCAAACAAUUGUGUUAUCACAGAAAAAAAAGGGUAAGUUAGAAAACAAUUGGGGAUAAAAUAACCACCCAGGUCUGCCCCAAGAAUCACAUCAAGAUCAAAGAGAAAGGUUUGGGCUUGCUUAACAAAGCAACAUAUUACUACAAGUUGGUUACUUUCAAUAUGUGGUGUUGCGACUCACUAUUUGAUUAAAAAAUUAAAAAAAAAUCAUUUGUGGAUUCAAACAAGCUGUCCCUUACAAGUAAGAAUGCAUAACAUACUCCAAAAAGUCAACACAAACACAACAAGUUAGGAAGUGAUCAAAUCUAAUUGUUAUCAAUUUCUCACUAAUAACUACAGUCUUUGAUGAUCAACUGAUCUCCUCAAAAACAAAAAGGCCUGGUGUUAAGUUUAGCUCACAACUAUAGUAUUUAACAUAACGAAAAAAAAAAAAAAAAGGG
Molecule: unclassified non-coding RNA, 1080 nt
Filed under: Hevea brasiliensis (rubber tree)
Lineage: Eukaryota; Viridiplantae; Streptophyta; Magnoliopsida; Malpighiales; Euphorbiaceae
Source: RNAcentral